ACACCCGUUCCCAUGCCGAACACGAUGGUUAAGCUUCUAAGCGCCGAUGGUACUGCAAGGGCGACCUUGUGGGAGAGUAGGACGUUGCCAGGU
RNAcentral lists this ribosomal RNA (93 nucleotides) under Clostridium tetani. Lineage: Bacteria; Bacillati; Bacillota; Clostridia; Eubacteriales; Clostridiaceae. The record is from RNAcentral.